CCUACGGGAGGCAGCAGUGAGGAAUAUUGGUCAAUGGACGCAAGUCUGAACCAGCCAUGCCGCGUGCAGGAAGAAGGCGCUAGGAGUUGUAAACGGCUUUUGUACGAGGGUAAACGCAGAUACGCGUAUCUGUCUGAAAGUAUCGUACGAAUAAGGAUCGGCUAACUCCGUGCCAGCAGCCGCGGUAAUACGGAGGAUGCAAGCGUUAGCCGGAUUUAUUUGGGUUAAAGGGUGCGUAGGCGGUCGGUUAAGUUAGAGGUGACAUCCCGAGGCUCAACUUCGGAAUUGCCUCUGAUACUGUUCGGCUAGAGAGUAGUUGCGGUAGGCGUAAUGUAUGGUGUAGCGGUGAAAUGCUU
Molecule: ribosomal RNA, 356 nt
Filed under: uncultured bacterium
Lineage: Bacteria
Description: partial 16S ribosomal RNA
Rfam family: Bacterial small subunit ribosomal RNA
Source: RNAcentral